Molecule: unclassified non-coding RNA, 356 nt
Filed under: Hevea brasiliensis (rubber tree)
Lineage: Eukaryota; Viridiplantae; Streptophyta; Magnoliopsida; Malpighiales; Euphorbiaceae
Source: RNAcentral
CUGGAAGGAAAGAAAUCGCUAAAUACUGGAACAAUGUAUUGCGAGGACCAUUCUAACAUAUCAGUAGAAAAGGGCCACGUUCGGAUAAACGAAGCAGACCAAAAUCCAAAAGCGAGGCCUUAUCCCAUAAGGCGACCGAGAAUAAGUCCCAGAUCAUCCUAUGGAACGGUAAUUUAUCACCCGGCACAUAACGAUAGGGGACUGAUGAAGCAGUCCAAAUAGGAAACCAUUUCAAACCAGUCGAUAGAGGAACCGACUGGAAUGAAGGUACAUAUCUACUGAUAAGUGACACAACCUUCGUUCUCAACUCUUCUUGAAGAGAGUCGAAAGAAGCGUAAAGCUCUUUUGUAAUCGAG